Molecule: RNA transcript, 1453 nt
Organism: Daphnia pulicaria
Lineage: Eukaryota; Metazoa; Arthropoda; Branchiopoda; Diplostraca; Daphniidae
Exons: 8
Source: RefSeq, a predicted model, not a curated record
CGAUUGAUAAUCGUUUCCACAAGCGAAAUGGUGGAAACUAUUGGUGGAAAGAUUCAUGCCUUCAUUGAAAGUGUCAAGUAUGGCUGUGUCGUGUUAUCGUGUAUGUUCGUGAAUCGUGAUAACGGUGAAUCGUGAUAACGGUAUAACUAACUGAUAACUAAAUUUACAUGAGUUAACAUAGUUAUGCUUUCCAACUGUAGCACUUGACUUGAUCAAGCAGUUAACUGUCGAGUUUGCCUUGGAGGAUGUGACGUCUUUUGCUUCUGCCAGUCAUAUUACUUCUAAUCAUUUCAAGCAACAUGUUAUACCCAUCAUACCUCCACAUGAAAGGACUGCUCUUACAUCCCACGAAAGACUGGCUUCUGCCAGUCAUAUUACUUCUAAUCAUUUCAAGCAACAUGUUAUACCCAUCAUACUCCACAUGAAAGGACUGCUCUUACAUCCCACGAAAGACUCCCCAGUUGGAGUGAACAAAACUCGAUCUAGGAAAUGAUAUCCAAUCAAUGAGGACAUCUCAAAGGAACAGAGAUUCAGGAUUAUAUUCAGUAUUAUAUCAUGCUCGCGAUCAGUAUGCUGUCGACCUUGAAGUUACUUAUAACAGCUUGGGAGUCGGUGGAACAAAAAUAAGAACGAGUACGAUUUACGAGAAUUCUCUAGACGGUCUUCACGACAUAUCUUCAUGACCCUGCAGCAGCUACGUAGCCCCACGUGAGGUUAUGCCUGUCAAGUAAUCAAUGUCAUUUAAGCUCGACUCUAUCUUGGCCUUUUUCUUUUGACUUACGGUCGACAAUCAAAAAGGCGUGCCUUGUUUUUCGGAAAAAAUAGUAUGGACAGCGUGCCCUGGUCAGUUAAUUGAGCCUGGCGUCAUCCAACACUCGAGGGCAGCAGAAGGACGAUCCACAGCUCCCCGGCCGAAUUGCACUGGAGCGAGUCGACGAAGUAGCCAGCAUCCUUCUGAACUCAAUUCAAAGUCUUUUCGAUGUCCAACUUUGCUAAUGGCGGGUCCGCGAUUGCUGUCGCUUCAUGAUUAGAAUCAAACUUGUGGUUUCAAGGCGACCGAAAAGAAAUAACACUGGGCGGUGUUAAGCGAUAGAUGUUUUUUUUUUCGUAACAACUUCUGGAGGCCUAUUGCAUUCUUCAAAGCCUUCUUAUGAUUUCUGUCAAAUCAAGAAGGGGGACCAUCGGCAUUCAGCUUUCUACGUUGGAAAUAUGUUCCGCCAGUUUUCUGUUUCUUCCGGCUCUCUACUACGGAUGUUUUUAUUCGAUGCUGGCGGUCAAUUCUUUCAACCCGGAACUUUCGUCGUUUAAUAACUCAACAUUGUCGUGGCGCAUUCACCCCGGGCAAGUUUGGAUGGCCAUUUUCUCGUCAAUGAUGCGUUUUAGAACAUACAAAUCGUGUUGAUAUUUUGCGAUGCUGUGUAGAUGAGUCAAAUGAAUACAUGUGUAUUUACGA